Molecule: unclassified non-coding RNA, 404 nt
Filed under: soil metagenome
Description: partial contains 5.8S ribosomal RNA, internal transcribed spacer 2, and large subunit ribosomal RNA
Rfam family: 5.8S ribosomal RNA (bases 1-122)
Source: RNAcentral
GAUGAAGAACGUAGCAAAAUGCGAUACUUGGUGUGAAUUGCAGAAUCCCGUGAACCAUCGAGUUUUUGAACGCAAGUUGCGCCCGAAGCCUUUUGGCCGAGGGCACGUCUGCCUGGGCGUCACGCAUCGCGUCGCCCCCCACAAUUCUCCGUAAAAGGAACAUGUGUUUUGGGGGCGGAUAUUGGUCUCCCGUGCUCAUGGCGUGGUUGGCCGAAAUAGGAGUCCUUUCGAUGGACGCACGAACUAGUGGUGGUCGUAAAAACCCUCGUCUUUUGUUUCGUGCUGUUGCUCGCAAGGUAAACUCUUUAAAAACCCCAAAGUGUCGUCUCUUGACGACGCUUCGACCGCGACCCCAGGUCAGGCGGGACUACCCGCUGAGUUUAAGCAUAUCAAUAAGCGGAGGA